Molecule: ribosomal RNA, 1662 nt
Filed under: Triticum aestivum (bread wheat)
Lineage: Eukaryota; Viridiplantae; Streptophyta; Magnoliopsida; Poales; Poaceae
Description: partial small subunit ribosomal RNA
Source: RNAcentral
AUGUCGCUGAAAGGCUACCACGAAGCCUCACUGCAUCCGCCGGCUGCGUAUGACGCGGCGGCGGCGGCGCCGGAGGCAGCGGAGUGGGACUGGGGGGAAGCCCUCCUCGACAGAUCCGCCUACAUGGUCGACAAGAAAGACCACGAGAAAAACCAUACCUCCGCCUGCCGUCGAUUUCGGAGGAGCCUGCACGACAGGGAGGUGGAGGUGGAGAUGCAGGUCAGCCUGUUCAUGGCGCCGCCGCCUCGCGUUUCCUACUUUUGCUGCUCCGCCAACUGCACCGACAACGACCACGGUGAACAAGGAGACACCCCCCGCUUGUUCAUCCGCGAGCCUUGGAUGAUCGCCACGGAGGGUGACCUUGCCCUCUUCACUCUCUGCCACGGCCACAACCGUUCCUUCUACUCCGAAAGCAGCAACUACGACUACUUCCUCUACCAGGCAGCAGCCUCACCGGCGGGGAAGCCGGAACUCACCCGGCUCCCGCGGCCCCAACCCAACAUGCUACCAGCUUUCGGAAGUCGCUGCUUCCCUACCGGCAGUAUUGGCAUCUUGCGUUACUGCAGCAACAUCCCCACCGCCGCCCACAAAAUCCCCUUGACGCCCCCCACCCCUAUCCCCAGCCCCUCCGUCGCCCUUCCCCGCCCCCAAAGUAUCCCCUUCACGCCCCCCACUUCCGUCCUCAGCCCCUCCGUCACCUCAUAUUCUCAAGCCCGCCCCAAGGAUGAUGCCUGUGAUGCCUACAGGAUUGCGGCGCUAGCCUACGACCCUUUCCACCCCAGCCAUUCCGGAUACUACCUCUGCACCUACGACUCCAAGGACCCUCGGUGGAGACGCACGCCCGCUGCCUCUCCACAGCCACCACCGCCUGAAGACUUUGUGUCCAGCAAGGUCAUCACCAUCCGCCGCUCUGGCUCCGGCUCCUGUUCCGGCAUCAUGGGCUGGGUCGACCUCUGGAGUGGCAUGCUCCUCUGUGACGUGCUCGCUGCCGCCGCCGACACCCUCUGCAUCCCGCUUCACUAUCUCACCUUUCCAGAGCCGAGGCAGCUGCGAACUGAGCUCCCUCUUGCCACAGACAUUGGAUACCACUUUCGGGACAUCGCCCUAGCCAAUGACUCCGGCAUCAUCAGGUUUGUCGACCUUCAGGUCCACGCCGAACCCAGCCCGCGCUCGCAAACUCCUAGUGGCUGGACGGUGGUCACGUGGACCUUGGAGGGGCUCAAUGGCGGUCUGGAUGCCCUGUUUUUCCGGCAGGAGCACGAGAUCCAUUCUGGACAUAUCCACGGCUACAACCUGCCUCAGUCUCUCUUUGUUUCCAACCCCAUCCUCAGCUCCGACAGAGAUGGCGUCCUCUACCUCUUGACCAAUGCCAGCAGCGAAAACACCAACAACAUGCCGUCGAAGGUGAUUGCUCUUGACCUCAACCAGAAGAUGUUGCUGGACGUGCAGGAAUUCGACAGGCAAAGACCCAGCUCCUACAUGACCACUAGCAUCUCCAGCUAUCUCAUGCCAGCUGCUGCAGUUUCAAAGGAGAAGGAGAGUAUGAAACGGCGUGCGCCAAAGUCUAUGGGAUCCGCUCGCAAGAAGCAGCCUGCCAUCGCUAACCCAGCAGCGGUAGGAGGAAAGGGUGAUGUCGGGGAUGCAAUGGACUUGUCACAGUAG